This 460-nucleotide ribosomal RNA is filed under the name uncultured bacterium. Its description in RNAcentral is "partial 16S ribosomal RNA". It matches the Rfam family "Bacterial small subunit ribosomal RNA", at positions 338 to 795 of the family's 1533-position model. The record is from RNAcentral.
CCUACGGGAGGCAGCAGUGAGGAAUAUUGGUCAAUGGACGAGAGUCUGAACCAGCCAAGUAGCGUGAAGGAUGACUGCCCUAUGGGUUGUAAACUUCUUUUAUAUGGGAAUAAAAUGUUCCACGUGUGGGAUUUUGUAGUUACCAUAUGAAUAAGGAUCGGCUAACUCCGUGCCAGCAGCCGCGGUAAUACGGAGGAUCCGAGCGUUAUCCGGAUUUAUUGGGUUUAAAGGGAGCGUAGGUGGAUUGUUAAGUCAGUUGUGAAAGUUUGCGGCUCAACCGUAAAAUUGCAGUUGAAACUGGCAGUCUUGAGUACAGUAGAGGUGGGCGGAAUUCGUGGUGUAGCGGUGAAAUGCUUAGAUAUCACGAAGAACUCCGAUUGCGAAGGCAGUUCACUGGACUGCAACUGACACUGAGGCUCGAAAGUGUGGGUAUCAAACAGGAUUAGAUACCCCAGUAGUC